This 607-nucleotide ribosomal RNA is filed under the name uncultured Meliniomyces. Its description in RNAcentral is "eukaryotic LSU rRNA". The stretch from base 245 to 398 matches the Rfam family "5.8S ribosomal RNA". The record is from RNAcentral. Lineage: Eukaryota; Fungi; Ascomycota; Leotiomycetes; Helotiales; Helotiaceae.
CUUGGUCAUUUAGAGGAAGUAAAAGUCGUAACAAGGUUUCCGUAGGUGAACCUGCGGAAGGAUCAUUAAAAAAAAGAGAAACGUCCCGUUUUUUUCAUAAGAAUGGGUUCUAUUCCCUUAAACCGUGUCUACAUACCUUUGUUGCUUUGGCAGGCCGCCUUCGGGCGUCGGCUCCGGCUGAUAGUGCCUGCCAGAGGACCCAAACUCUAUGUUUAGUGAUGUCUGAGUACUAUAUAAUAUUUAAAACUUUCAACAACGGAUCUCUUGGUUCUGGCAUCGAUGAAGAACGCAGCGAAAUGCGAUAAGUAAUGUGAAUUGCAGAAUUCAGUGAAUCAUCGAAUCUUUGAACGCACAUUGCGCCCCUUGGUAUUCCGAGGGGCAUGCCUGUUCGAGCGUCAUUAUAACCACUCAAGCCUGGCUUGGUAUUGGGGUUUUCGCGUGUUCGCGGCCCUUAAAAUCAGUGGCGGUGCCGUCUGGCUCUAAGCGUAGUAAUUUCUCUCGCUAUAGGGUUCCGGUGGUUACUUGCCAAAACCCCCCAUUUUUUCUAGGUUGACCUCGGAUCAGGUAGGGAUACCCGCUGAACUUAAGCAUAUCAAUAAGCGGAGGA